RNAcentral lists this microRNA precursor (72 nucleotides) under Myotis lucifugus (little brown bat). RNAcentral describes it as "mir-9193 microRNA precursor family". It matches the Rfam family "mir-9193 microRNA precursor family". Lineage: Eukaryota; Metazoa; Chordata; Mammalia; Chiroptera; Vespertilionidae. The record is from Rfam by way of RNAcentral.
CUGGGGGGGGGGGAGGCCCUCAGCCUGGAUUGCGAGGGCACAGGCCAGGCCGAGGGACCCCACCGGUGCACG